GGAUUCCUGAUGUGUACGUUGUUCACCUAGUUUUGACCUAACAUUUAUGAGUAAGGGAGCUUACGUUUUUAAAUGAAGUAAAUGCCUCCGAUUCAGCUCGAGGACUUACAACAUUUAAAACAGGGCACCCACCUGCGGAGGCGGGGCUCAAAACUAAGGGAAAGGCGACGGCACGAUUGGGGUCCU
This 186-nucleotide non-coding RNA is filed under the name Bacillus carboniphilus. RNAcentral describes it as "6S RNA". It matches the Rfam family "6S / SsrS RNA". Rfam says of the family: E. coli 6S RNA was the first non coding RNA to be sequenced, but its function was unknown until recently. It consists of 184 nucleotides that fold into an extended hairpin structure with a large single-stranded internal bulge. Lineage: Bacteria; Bacillati; Bacillota; Bacilli; Caryophanales; Bacillaceae. The record is from RNAcentral.